GGGGAGGGGAAGAGGCAUUAAGGAAUGGGUGAUGGGGGAGGGGGCUCUGGGAGAUGGAACAACUACUUGGAAUCACAAAUCCCACCGUGAGGGAAUGCACGGAGCCAGGCCCAGCUACUUGUGGGGCCCCGUAUGGAUUUAAAAUGCAGGGCCCCCCAGGGGCGCCCGGGUGGCUCCAGCUAAGUAUCUGACUGGGGCUCAGGUCGUGAUCUCACGGUUCGUGAGUUCGAGCCCCACGUCGGGCUCUGUGCUGACAGCUCGGAGCCUGGAGCCUGCCUCGGAUUCUGUGUCUGCCUCUCUCUCUGCCCCUCCCUUGCUCGCACUCUGUGUGUCUCUCUCUCUCAAAAAUAAAUACAUGUUAAGAAACAAAUUUAAAAAAAUGCAGGUACCUGUUCAAACGUGGUCAAGAAUGUCAAGACAGCACAGCAUUCAACCAAGCAUGGGGCCCUUCUAAGUGGGGGUGCCCCGUGUGCCUGCCUACUGCCCAUGAAGCUGCCCGGUGUGGAAUUACCAAGCGUGCAAGGGAACAUUUUGCACGCCCAGAGUGUCAGAGCCCAAGAUAUGAUGUGCACACUUCAUAGCUGGGAAGGGCCACGUGUGUCCAGGGAGGGUCCUGGUCCCCCCGGGUCUCCCCCUCAGGGACUGUCUACUGCACCCCCUGAGGACUGACUGAGCGGACCUUCCUUGGCUUUCUUUGCCCACCUCUGACAACAAGGGGCAGAAGAGGAGAAGUUAAGGGUCCUGGGAAACCAGACGCCGGACCAGCUCUGUCCAUAUGAGUACGAGAGGGCAGUAGGGGUGGGCCCAGCUGGGCAGCGAGUAUACUGGUUUGUAUUGGGCAAGGCUCUUUGGGUGUGGGCAUGGCUUACAAACCAAAGGUCAGGAGGCCAGGGGCAGAGGCGGCUUCGGGGUCGGCUGCAAUGAGGGGCUUGAACCCUGUCUGUCAGAAUUCUCUCUUUGGUUUUCUUCUGCAUGUGGAUUAUUCUCUCCUUCUGAGGUUUUCUCUGCACAGCGAGGGCCACUGUGUUGGCAGACCCAGGCACGUAUCCUUCCAGCUGAAGGACUUUCAGCCUCAGAAAAAUCCUGGGAAGAAUUUAGUGACCUGACUUGGGUCAUGUGCCCAGCACUGAACCAGUCACUGUGAGGUGUUGCCCUAGACGCAGCUGGGUCUCACGGCCCCGUCUGGCUCAGACGAGGGCACGUAUUGUGAUUGUCAGCUCCCGCCAGACCCCAUACGGUUGGUGGGGGAGAGGGGGCGGGAGGUUUAAGGGGAUGCCGGGCUCUUCCCUCAGAUCUAAGAAGCGGGCACGGUGUCCAGGCAGACAGAACGAACGCCAGGCAAAACAGCGCUCAAAUCUGGACUCUGGGCCACGGUUUAGGAUGGCCACACCGUCCUCCACCGCCAGCUCCGGUGGCACCGGAGAAGGGAGCCGCUGUGUGUCUUCUCUUUCUCGCUUAAUCGGGAAAAACCUUCCAUCCACAGUCAGCACAGCUCUCUGUGGGAGCAAGUUGGAGGGCCUGCUGCUACAGGGCCUGAGCGAUCGUCGAUCGUCGUGCGCAUCUCGCCACUCCCGGACUGCAGCCAGAUGAGCACUUAGAUGGGAGACUGCCAAAAUGCCCCGCAGAGGAGGAAGUGGCUCUUCAGAGUCAAAAGGUGACCUUGUUCCCUUUGACUCACUUCUGAACCGAUGCCCUCUAGAACUCAGGAAGCUCUCAGGAUCGGAGCGCUCAGCCCAGCCGCUGGCAGCUUUGCUGAAAAGGGGGGGCGGGGGCGGGCCCUGGCCCAGCUUGGUAAUUACUUAGCUCUGAGUUCCUGGGGGAACAAUGUCACCUCUCUGUCCUUAUGGAGGAAUGACAGACUUAACCCCAAUGCCUAAGAACAGGAAAGGUGUGGUAAAUAAACAGAAAAGCAAGUGGGCCACAGGGCUCAAAAGCCAGUUGAAUGCCGUAUAUAUAUCCACUGGCUGGCUGGCUGACGCUGAGUGACACUGAGUGACACUGACUGGGUGGCUGACAAGGUCUGAGUAAUCACUCAAAUAGGGUUAGUAAACUACAAUAGUUGCGACUUUGCCUGAAGUCCAACUUACUCUUGAAAAUGGUGUCUGUGUGACUAAAACAAGCCACACCAAGCCUUACCGAUGCCGUUCUUGUUGGGGUAGUGGAUGGAGGCUUCUUCCCCCCAAAGGAAGGAUGGGAAGCACAGGAUGGAAAUGAGGUCUCCCUCUUUGUGCCGGUGAUUUUUUUCCCAGUCCGGCCCCCUUUUCCUUUCUCUGAGACUGUCUCUAGCCCUCGUUUUCUCAAAGCCCCUUCUUCCUACAGAACCACCUUCUCAGUGGUCUUUUGGGGGCCGUGUUUCACUUGAUUGUAUGUCACUCCUCUGCUCUGUCCUCUUUGGUCUCCUGCUCCCACCGCUGCCCUCAAAGCUCUCCGGCCCUCAAAGCCCUUCUCUCUCCCCUUCCUCCAUGAAGUCUACCGGGGCCAUUCCAGCCCUUGUGACCCGGUCCUCUUCUCGGAUUCUUCACUGCUGUCCCUUCCAGGGCUGGACAUUUCCCACUGCCCCAGGGCACCCUUGGAAAGAUUUUGCUCUGAGUAGUUAUUUGCUGUUCAUCAUUGAACUCUUUCCUUGUAUUUGGGCGUGUAGACCAUGCACAUUUGAGAGGGUUGGGGCUCUUGUCUUUAGCCUUGUCUUUCCAUCAGCUCUGAGGCCAGUCAGGACCAGUGAGGUUAUGUCACUGAACCCAAACAGUCCCAGAUCCCAAUGGCUAAGACCACAGGGUUGUGCUACAUUGUGUUCCAGGUGUGUCGUAGGUUAGCCGGGGCUGUGCACACAGAGACCCAGGCUGAGGGAGGAUCUGUCUCCAGCUUCCAAGUGGGCGGAAGAAGAGAACGUUCUCAAACGUGCACUGAUUCUUAAAGCUUCCAAGUAGAUGGCAACACCCAUCUGCACGGGGCAGGAGAACGCGAUCCUCCUGUGCGUCUGCUUAGGGUAGGCAGAAUGGCACCAUGAUAGUUUGCCUGUGGUGGCCAACAGUGAAUUAUUUAUUGAUUGAAAGCCUUGAAGGAAGAAAUGAGUUAAAUAAAACAUGGUACAUUCAUUUAAUGGAAUCGUAUAAGCCACUAAAAUGAUAUUGCUGGAGGAUGUUAAUGACAUAGAAAACGUUGAGCAUAGAUUAUGAAGUAUAAGAGCAGAUUAUAAAAAAAGAAUGUGCCAUAUUUCUCUUUUGUUAAAAACGCAUAUUAUAUGGGGCGCCUGGGUGACUCAGUCAGUUAAAUGUGUGAGUCUUGAUUUUGGCUCAGGUCAUGAUCUCACUGUUUGUGGGAUCGAGCCCCACAUGGGGCUGUGUGAUGACAGUGCCUGGGAUUCUCUCUCUCUCCCUCUCUCUCUGCCCCUCCCCUGCUCGCAUGCUCUCUCUCACUCUCUCUCAAAAUAUAAUAAACGUUUAGUAAAUGCAUAUUAUACUUAUAGAAAAGAAAUUCUCGAAAAGGUCCACAGGUCCAGAUGGUGAGAUUAUGAGGACAGGCGACCUCUCCUCCUUUUGGUCUUUAUCUAUUUUCUAAAUCUUCUCCAGUUGAUUGCUUUCAUAACAAGAAAAAAAUUUCUUGCUAAACAGCCCGGCCUUUUAAAAAGUGGUAGAGUAUACAUUAAUCGUAAGAGAUGCGGAAAAUUCAGGCCCCUUGAAUUGACACGUGAAAACACCAAAGUUUAGAUCUUUCCAGACCUCUUUCCAUGUAUGCGUGCAUAUUUCGUUGAAAGCGAAUCCUCACCCGCCAGAGCCUGGAGCGCAUGGGCUGAUGUCAGUGACGUGAUGGUGCCCGUGAGCAUUGUGCUGGUUCCAUGGCCAGAAAAUCCUGUGCAGGCCCUGGCUCCUGGGAGGGAUGAAGGAUCCUGGGAGGUACUCCCCCACACACACCCCCCCCCGCCAAAGCUCUAUGUCUGCCGGCUUCUGUGGCUGCUCCGUGGAAGGCCCACCACGCGUGGCACCCCGGGUCCCAAACACGUGCAUUCGGGCUCGUGAUAUCGCAGGCAAGGAGGGGGCACUCGCUGUGGAGAAUUUGGCCCUGGGGCCUCACGGCCUCGUUGCUUGGGAAAGGAGGAAGAUGGACGUUUCCCCAUUCUCCGUUUGUGUUCUUUGAGUUGGUUCUGCUCCAGGGAAUUUUUUUGGCCAAGGCAAGUUCAAAAUAACUCUUCAUGAUCUGUUUGGUGCAAAUGCAAGUUGAUUUAUGGCUUUGCUGACCUUUGAUUCACUGGCAAAGCACUGCCUGGGGCCCUGGGGAGAUUUUCCUUUGCUUGUUUACCCGGGGUGAUUUAGGAGCUACAGUGCCAAGAAGGUUUUCCUAUUUCUUCCACCCCAGGACUUGACCUCGCGGCCCCUGCCCUCGGGGCUCACACCCUGGGGGACUCAGCCUCAGAUCGUGUACAGACGGACAGUUAACCUUCAGAUGCCCUGGACCAUGUUACUCAUUCAUAGUCUCUGGCUUUUAACCCCUUUCAAGAGGUCCCCAGAGAGGGGUGCCUGGGUGGCUCAGUCGGUUAAGCGUCCAACUCUUGAUUUUGGCUCAGGUCAUGAUUUCACAGUUCGUGAGUUCCAGCCCUGUGUCAGGCUCUGUGCUGACAGUGGGGAGAGCCCGACUGUCCUUCCCCCACUUACUCUAUCUCUCAAAAUAAAUAAAUAAACUUAAGAAAAGAAAAGAAAAGUUAAAAAAAAACAAAACAAAAAGACAAAACAGGAGCGCCUGGGGGGCUCAGUCGGUUAAGUGUCUGCCUUCGGCUCAGGUCAUGAUCUCAUAGUUCGUGGGUUCGAGCCCCGGUUCAGGUUCUGUGCUGACAGCUCAGAGCCUGGAGCCUGCUUCGAAUUCUGUGUCUCCCUCUCUCUCUGCCCUUCCUUUCCCUGCUCACACUCUCUCUCUCAAAAAUAAACAAACAUUUAAAACAUAUAUAUGUAUGAAGUGUAUUUAUAGGAUGUGUCUUUAUUUUUUUAAAGUUUGUUUAUUUUGAGGGAGAGAGGUGGGGGGCAGAGAGAGAGAACCCCAAGCAGGCUCCGCAGUGCCAGCACAGAGCCCAACGGGGGGCUCGAACCCACGAACCAUGAGACCAUGACCCGAGCCGAAACCAAGAGUCAGACGCCCAACUGGCUGAGCCACCCAGGUGACCCAGUAAAGCUCUUUAAAAGCAAAAGAAACCUGUAAAGAAAAUGUGUUCCCAGAAGAACUGACUCUGGAGGGUUCGAGGUGGACUGGCUCUCACCAUGGGCUGGUCCCAGCUUCUCCUUGUCACCUCUCUGUCUUGUACCAAGCCCAGCAGGAGGUGACCCUGCCCUGUCUGUGCCCCCUGGAAUGUGCUGUUCCAAUGUGCCCACCUCAGCCUGAGGGGCAGCUGGGGUGGGGGGCGGUCUGUGGAGAGACCACAGGGCUGCUGGGCCCCCCUGUGGAGGGCAGUGGCCUGUCCCGGCUGUUCCACCCUCACUCAAGGUGGGUCCUCUGUCUGCUUCAGAGGUGGGCUGGCGCUGGGCCCCAUCCAGGCUCUGGUCUUCUUCCGUCCCCUUCAUGGACACCCCGGAGGAGAAAUCCCAGACCGUGGCAGCCCCUCCUGUUUGAGUCCCAGCCACCAAAGCCCCAGAGGAGGUCGGCGGGGGGAGACAAGGAGAGGAAAGCCUUAAGUAGGUGCUUCAGGAACAACUGGAAAACGGGAGAUGGCGGUGGGGGGUGGGCAUGGGAAGCGGAGAGGGGAGAAAGCGGCAACAGAAAAAAGAGAAGGCGCGAGAAAGUACCACCUUCCAGUUCUGGCCCUGAGGCAGACCACCACUGAUUUUAUACCUACUUGUUUCUACCUAGCAUUUUCCAAGCAGUGUCAGUAUCCGUGAAGUCCUGGGGCGAUACGUUAGCUACAGUUUCCCCAGGAGACAUUGAAAUAAAUAGGUAACAGAAACCAUUUCUACAGAGACAGAAAGAUGAGCAGUUUCCUGGGGCUGGGGGCUUGCUGGGAGAAGAAGGGGAUGAGAACUAAAGGCAUGGGUUUCGUUGCGGGGUGGUGGAAAUGUUCUAAAUUUGAUUGUGGCGUCGGUUGUACAAGUCUGUACUAAAAAGCAUCGAAUUGUUCACUUGAAAGGAGUGAAUUGUAUGGUAUGUGAAUCAUACCUCAAUAAAGCCUUUACAAAAGCAAAACGAAAAAGAAAGAAAACAAAGCGGGUCUUUAUGAAGCCUGGCUCUCCCUGCACCCCUCGGCGGGGCCAGGACCGCUUUGGAAAUACUUGGCAAUGAGAAGAACCGGAGAGAGCUGUGACCCACAGCGGUGUUCCUACCACAUCGAGGGCUCAAAAGCAGUGACCCAAGGCAGCUGCCAAACAUCCGUCAGUGUUGCACCACCGAGAAAACAUCUGGGAUCCAAAGUUGCAGCUGCCCUCGGCCUCAGAGACAGUCAGCCACGAGACCGCUGGACACUUCUGUGGGUCCAGGGCUGGCUUGGCAUCGACAUCGAGGCAGGCAAAGAAACUGGAGCCUCUCAAAGCCCCUCAGAUGGGGCGGGGCUCCUGGGGUGACUCUUAUGCAGGUUGCCCGAGACUGGCCCGGUUUUAGCAUCGAAAACCCCACAUACCCAGGAAACCCUCUGUUUUGUCGGGACAAACCGGACAGCUGGUCACCCAGAUUCCUCACAGACCCCUGAAAGCAAAGGGCCAGGCUGAAAGACUCCUGGAAAGGCCACAAGAACGGCUUUCACUCUCCCUCUGCUCCGAUAGCCACAGUGACUGAAAGGAGUCCUGGAGAAGGGAGAGAAGAGGGUCUUACUGUAAGCCUGGCAACCCACUUUCCAGAAACAGAAAACAAGAAGCCAGACUGGAGAAUCAGGCCUUUGGCCAGGGCAGCGUGGCCACUCCUGGCCUUUGGGGAGGGGUCUCCAUCACAGAGCCACCCGUGGGGCCCAGCGGCCACUUGCUUCCUUCGGCUCCCACGCUCACCCUUGAGGGGGUAAACUGUCACUGAUUGUGAUGUUUAAUUUCAUAUGUCAACUUGACUGGGCGACAGGGCACCCAGAUAUUUGAUCAAAUAUUUUUCUGAGUGUGCCUGUGAGGGUGUUUCUGGAUGAGAAUUGGUAGACUGAGUAAAGGAGAUCGCUGUCUCGAAUGCGGGUGGGCUUCAUUUAAUCAGGCGAGGGGCCUGACUAGGCCAAAAGGGCUGACCAUCCCCUGACUUACAGAGAGUUCUUCCUGCCUGACAGUCUCUGAAGGCAUCAGGUCUUCCUGGAUUUCAAGCCUGCCAGUCUUUGGACUAUACUUCGGCUCUUCAUCUUAGGCUUUUGGACUCAGACUGGAGUUAAACCAUCGGUGCUCCUGGGCUUGUCAACUCAGCUGCAGAUCUUGGGGCUGCUGGUCUCCAUUAUCAUGCAAGCAAACUGUAUAAUCUCUCUCUCCUAUUGGUUCUUUUUUUUUUAAUAUUUAAUGUUUAUUAUCAUUUAUUAUUUUAAUUGUUUUAAUGUUUAUUUAUUUUUGAAAGAAAGAGAGGUAGAGAGAAUGCGAGCAAGGGGAGGGGGGCAGUGAGAGAGGGAGACACAGAAUCUAAAGCAGGUUCCAGGCUCUGAGCUGUCAGCACAGAGCCCCACGUGGGGCUCAGUCUCACGAGCCAAGAGAUCAUGAUCCAGCGCAAGUCAGACCAUUAACCGACUGAGCCACCCAGGCGCCCCCUAUUGGUUCUUUUUUUGAAAAGCCUUAAUACACUGAUGAGUCCAGCUCUCUCCCUGCCCUGCUCAGUCAACGACCUUCAAAUGAAGAUGUUGAUUUUUGGUAAUUUUGAAAGACUCAGGCUGGUGAUGAUGUCAAGGUCAAGGCAAGGAAGCAGUUUCACUAGGGGCUAGUUCUUGUGCCGGCUUCACGAAUUUAUGAAUGGCUGUGGCAAGAAAGUCCCGCUCCUCCCCUGGUCUUGCCUGUUUGGGGAGUGGCCUGUGUGGACGUGUCAGAAAUACAGACAUCGUUGAGUCUGUUUUGUUCUCAGUCUCAAAGCCUCUGGAGAGCUGGUAACAUAAACCCUAAGGUCUUGUGGGGCCUGACAUACUGUGAGCUUCAGACACUGACCCCACACAGCUAGCAUCACUCACAACUUGUUCUGAAACAGGAAAGAAUACGUGUUCUGACCCCAUGCAGUCUUUUUUUUUUUUUUUAAUUUUUAUUCAUUUUUUGAUAGAGACAGAGUGUGAGUGGGGGAGGGGCAGACACCGAAUCAGAAGCAAGCUCCAGGCUCUGAGCGGUCAGCACAGAGCCUGGCGCGGGGCUCGAACUUGGGAACCGCGAGAUCGCCCAACCGACUGAGCCACCCAGGCGCCCCUCCCUUGCAGUCUUUCUUACCCGACUGCAGAAAUAGUUCUUGGCCUGAAAUCUCACUUCAAAUGUGGGUCUAAGGUGUUCUUUUUAGAGGACUUCAGACACUGCCAGGACGCCGGGAGCAACCUUUUUCAGGACGCAAAGCUCGGUGCCCUUAACUCCCGGAAGAGGAGGAAAAGCACAAUCUCUGAACUAGGUUAGGUCUUCUGGGGAGUGUUCAUCGGCUUCAGCUCACUGAGAAGGGAGUUGGUCAAAUAUAAAAUUCCCCAGUCUGAAUCCUUCUCUCUCUUUCUGGUAAGAGCAGCUGGAAGACAAGCCACCCAGCUUAGUGUCCCCCGCCCACCUCCCCGCCUCGGCUCCCCAGACUUUCAGACCCAGGAGCGCACACAAGUACCGAUCCUGACCAUUAGGUGUCACUGUUGUACACGACAUGGACUGACCUGGGCUCCGGACGAUUGACCGCGCUCCAGCUUGAUCGCCUUUCGAUUUCUGCAUGACCGUGGGGUUCCCCAAAGUGUAGCGGUGCCCAGCCUGAGGCCAGUAACCAGUCAACAGUUGACACAAAAUACAGGUAAAGCCCACCUGGGCUUUGCACUCUGGCAGUUACAGCUCUUUGUGAUGGAGGAUGUAAAAGCAGUCGGUAUGGCGAGCAGCCGGAAGGGCAAAUAAAAAUAUUUUUUACCGUUGUAUUUUAAAAUUCAUAAUAAACUAUGUCAAAUGUACAGGAAAAUUACAGAGAACAUUAUAAGAAACCCUUGAAUUGAAUUGCCAUGUUUGCUUCAGUGUUUUGCUUUGUUUUAUAUAUGUAUUCACAUUGUAUAGCAUCGUUCUGUGUGUUUUCAAAUUAAAAUUUGUAAAUAUUUCCAUUUCUAUUACAUCAUUUUGCAAGUUGCUUUUACCACCUCAACCAUUAUUUUUCGUUUUGGGGGUUUAUUACUGUCGCUGUAAGUAGCUCUGAUUUAUUUAUUUGAACCACUGUAUUGUAUUCCAUUGAAUCUCCACAACAAUCAGUUUAUAAAAUCAUUGGCUAUUUCCAAUUUUGUUAUUACUGCAGGUAAGGCUGAAAUGACAAUUUAAAAACAACUUUAUUUAGGUAUAACUUACAUACCACAGAGUUUACCCACUUUAUUAAAGUAUACAAUUCAAUGGC
This is a long non-coding RNA of Neofelis nebulosa (Clouded leopard), 9459 nucleotides long. RefSeq lists it as uncharacterized. The record is from RefSeq and is a predicted model, not a curated record. NCBI's taxonomy places the organism in Eukaryota, Metazoa, Chordata, Mammalia, Carnivora, Felidae. The transcript is spliced from 2 exons.